GCAGCCGCGGUAAUACGGAAGGUCCAGGCGUUAUCCGGAUUUAUUGGGUUUAAAGGGAGCGUAGGCGGGAUAAUAAGUCAGUUGUGAAAGUUUGGGGCUCAACCUUAAAAUUGCAAUUGAUACUGUUAUUCUUGAGUGCACGCAGGGGUGCCGGAAUUCAUAGUGUAGCGGUGAAAUGCUUAGAUAUUAUGAAGAACUCCGAUCGCGAAGGCAAGUGCCCGGAGUGCUACUGACGCUGAGGCUCGAAAGUGCGGGUAUCAAACAGGAUUAGAUACCCC
RNAcentral lists this ribosomal RNA (278 nucleotides) under uncultured Oscillospiraceae bacterium. RNAcentral's name for it is "partial 16S ribosomal RNA". It matches the Rfam family "Bacterial small subunit ribosomal RNA", at positions 511 to 788 of the family's 1533-position model. Lineage: Bacteria; Bacillati; Bacillota; Clostridia; Eubacteriales; Oscillospiraceae. The record is from RNAcentral.